Triticum urartu is the source of this 784-nucleotide non-coding RNA. The record is from RefSeq and is a predicted model, not a curated record. Lineage: Eukaryota; Viridiplantae; Streptophyta; Magnoliopsida; Poales; Poaceae.
UCCCCCUCUCCUCUCCGGACGCACCGGUCUCCUCCCUAACCAGGAAGUGGGUGCACCCGGGGCGGGUUCCGGUAAACGCGGCCGUGCGCGCGUGAGCUCCGACGAACGCGGCGGCGCCCGCAUCCUUCGCCUCUCCGGUCGCACAUCUCCUCCCUUGCUACGAAGUGGGCGCACGCGGGGUGGGCUCUCUGCCAACCGCGCCAGGAGCUCUGCUUCCGCAAUGGCGGAACGAAAUUCUUAACUCUAUGUGGAUACGCCUGAAUUCGCUUUGGAUUCAUGUGUUGUAAGAUUGCAUAAUUUUAUGGCUAAGGAACAACUGCUUGUUUGCUUGUACUACCACAGGUGUAUGUGCAGACAAUGAGGGCGUCGAUGCUCAAGAGGUGCCCAGUUUCCUCAUACAAGGACGUCUGUGGAGUCUUCAAGAAAGAGAUUGGAGAAUUGCCACAAACUGUUCAACACGACCACUUGGUGGAUACUUCUGUAAUUGAUAUCGCCACCGUGGAUUUAGUAGUGCUCUUCAUUAUAUUUCCCUGCAUUUGACUACAGGUAAAACCAAUCAAUGGGAGCAACUGUUCUUUGUUUAUUACCUUGUUCUCUCUCUCUUUUUUUUGCGAAACAAGAGCUAUCAUUAAACAGUAGCAUUACAAUCAUUCUGCAGGCAUUCAACUAGAAACCUAGGAACAAAGUUGAUCCAUAAACAUCUCCUUCUAAUCGAAGAAGCCUGCUUAGCACAAAGAUGUGCCCCUUCAUUAGCUCCACGCCCAAUGAAGUUCAGUUGGAAAAA